This 1262-nucleotide unclassified non-coding RNA is filed under the name Cimex lectularius (bed bug). RNAcentral describes it as "uncharacterized LOC106669944, transcript variant X2". Lineage: Eukaryota; Metazoa; Arthropoda; Insecta; Hemiptera; Cimicidae. The record is from RNAcentral.
UCCACCUGAUUGAAAAAUGUUAGAAUAAUACAACAAAACACUUUGUUUACAUAAGUUACAUUAGCAAGUCACUCUGCCAGCAAGUCUACACAUUCAAGCAAGAUCACACUAUACAAACAUGGUUCUCCCAGGAUUUACACCAAAAAUAACCACACAUUUAGCUGCACUCAGCAUGAGUAAUACACAAUUCAGUCUCAAAAAGGAAUUGAUAUCCACAGUAAAUGGUUGGUUGCAUUAUUUUUCAAAGAGUAAAGUUUCUUACCCAGAGACCGUGCCAAAGAAAGAACUUCCAAAAAAGGCUAUUUUAAGUAAGCCUGUGAACAAAUAUGCUCUUUGCUCUAAAAGAAGUAGGUUCUUCGUGAAUCCAUUUCCAGAGGUGGAGGCAUGUGAGAACACUAGCAAGACUAACAAAUGUAUAUUAGAUAUUAUAAAAAUGGUAAAAGUGAAUUUUGAAAAUGGCAAGUGUUUUUCAGCAAUCUGGGCACACAAAAUGUUUUGCAAUCUUCCUCAUUCCAUUUCAAAAUCACCACAAGGAUCUACGCAUGCAUUGAGUAAAGCACAGGAAUUUUUGUUUAGCUGGAAAACAAGACAAACUGGUACUUUGUGUAAUACCCAAUUGCGCCAUUAUAGCACAGCUAAAACUUGUAUGCCUACUCCUUCUCCCCCUCCGAAUCAAAAAUGUGUAAUUCCACCGAAGAAGAAAGAAGAAUGCUUAAAACAAAAACAACACGAAUGGCAACCUGUCGAUACGAUUAAAAUGCCAUGCUGUUGCUGUCCGACAAAAGAUGUUCGAUGUUAUACUGAUGUCCAACCAAAGUUGAAUCUGUGUAAAAAGACUGAAUAUAGAAUACCAGCGUUUUCUGAAUGCAAGAAGUCAGCAUUGAUUAAGAUACUGCCAAAAGAAUGCUGCUACCAAGCACUAUUUUGCCCCUUGGACGGAAAAAAAUGGUCUUCACCACAAUUGAUGACUACUAAAAUGAGGCAAGAAUUAAUCCUGGGACGCCGCCGAAACAAUUCAGUUUCUUCACAAAGUGGCUCUACUUCUAACUCUACAAAAAAAGACAACGGGUGUAACAGGUCGAAAUAAGUUGUGAUGUUAUUGUUCAGAUCAAGGGGUGCAAAGUGUAGGGUGCAAACUGCAAAUGAUAUCAAACUUUUCUGUGGGUGAAUUAUUACUCAAGUGAUAUGUCUUAUUGAAAUAUCAUUGCAGAUUAAUGUACAAAGGCAGAUUGUUUGACAAAAAAGUAUUUGUUAAAUUUUUC